This 1532-nucleotide long non-coding RNA is filed under the name Marmota monax (woodchuck). Lineage: Eukaryota; Metazoa; Chordata; Mammalia; Rodentia; Sciuridae. The record is from RNAcentral.
GGUAGCUGUUAUCACUAUUAUUUUCUAAGGGGAAAUCAACUAAUCAAACUUGUGAAAAGAACCUCAAGAUUACCCUGUUCCUUUUGUCUUUCAAUUCAAAGACCUUCUACACAGAGGCUUUCUCUGAGUUUUCACACCACACUUUUUUAAAACCCAUGAUGGACAACUAACCUCUGUAUUCUGACAUUGCCAGAAUGUUUUUUUUCUGCUUAGUGGACUUUAAUUAUUACUGAAUUACAUUAGGAUUCCCAUGUAAUUACUUAUUAGAGCUGCACAGUGCCAAAAUGAGUCACCAUGAUUCAAUCUGCUAGAAUGGCUACCAAGGAAACUGUGCAUGAGUUUCCAUCUUGUGAAGUAUUUGGUCACAUGAAACCAACUUCACUGAGUAACAUGAGCUACAUCCCCCUCAACAUUAUAAACAAUGGAUAAGUAGUUUAACACACCAAAUAGAAACCUAAGAGUCAAUAUGCAUUUAGGGUCUAUUGUGGACUUUUUCAGUCAUCUAUGAAUUAAAUUAAAGGUAUUAUAUUUGAAUAUAUAUUUAAAUAUUCACACAUAGAGAUGUAUCUUUUGAUUUUAGGGAAUCCAUAGGAAAAAAGAGAAUAACUAAAGCUCAUUCAGAUAAUGUAUGAUUAUAUAGUAUUAAACAGAUAUUUCAAGUUAUAUUUGAUUGAAAUGUUAUCUUGGAAUCUAUACAGCAUACAUAAAGUACCAUAUCUAUCAUAUAUUUCCAAAAUAAAUCCUAAAAUAAUUAACAAAAUCUCUUCCCAUGAUUGAAUUGUUUCUUGGAAAAUAAUUUGAAAACUCUAUCAGUACCUAUUCUACAGGUAUGUUUUAAAGUAAGCAUGUAAAUUAAUAUGACAUUGAUGAUUCCAGAUCUUGGGAUUCAAAAAUAAGAGUAGCAAAAAUAAAAUAGCAUGAUUUUAUAUAUUGCUUAAUUCCAUAAAUAUGUCAAAAUCGUCUUCAAGUUUCAGUUGUCUUCAAGUUUCAGCUGGGUUUGUACUGAUAUGGCAUCACAGAAUAUUCCUGUAGGAACCCCUGAAUUUGGAUCCCCUCUGGUCUCUGCAACACAAUGUCGAGGCACCACCUGAGUGAAAGGAGGAAGAUGUGUGUCAAAAGGCAGAACAGGAGGCACUGGAAGGUACUGAGAACAAACUCCCUGGGGUCAAAAGCAGGUAGAACCAUCCUACAAUUCCAUUCAAUCUGAAAAAUAUAUGACUUCCAUGAACUGUAUUUGAAGCCUUUUUAUGAAGUGGGUCAAGAUCAGGCACACCAGUAAAUGAUUUGGUUUUGCUUUUUUUAUGUGUUUUCCAGGUACCUCCCCUCAGAAUGUAUAGGAUUGCAUAAAUAUACAAUUUUUUUAAAAAUCUACAUAUCUAUGACUUCAGCUGGCUCUCACUGUUAUGUACUGUAUUUUCUUUCUCUUUUUAAAUCUUAAGUACAUGUUGACAUAUCUGAAGGCACUAAAUUUGUUUUGUGUAAUCAAAGAAUGUUAUUGCUUGAAAUCUCAUUAAUAAAAUUUUUAUAAUGCC